This 86-nucleotide transfer RNA is filed under the name Thermoprotei archaeon. RNAcentral describes it as "tRNA-Arg". It matches the Rfam family "tRNA". From Rfam's summary of the family: Transfer RNA (tRNA) molecules are approximately 80 nucleotides in length. The record is from RNAcentral. Lineage: Archaea; Thermoproteati; Thermoproteota; Thermoprotei.
GGGCCCGUAGCGCAGUGGAUUACAGCUCCAUAAAGCGCACCGGCCUCCGGAGCCGGUGGUCCCGGGUUCGAAUCCCGGCGGGCCCG